This 496-nucleotide ribosomal RNA is filed under the name uncultured bacterium. RNAcentral describes it as "partial 16S ribosomal RNA". It matches the Rfam family "Bacterial small subunit ribosomal RNA", at positions 28 to 506 of the family's 1533-position model. The record is from RNAcentral.
GACGAACGCUGGCGGCGUGCCUAAUACAUGCAGGUUGAGCGCUGAAGGUUGGUACUUGUACCAACUGGAUGAGCAGCGAACGGGUGAGUAACGCGUGGGGAAUCUGCCUUUGAGCGGGGGACAACAUUUGGAAACGAAUGCUAAUACCGCAUAAAAACUUUAAACACAAGUUUUAAGUUUGAAAGAUGCAAUUGCAUCACUCAAAGAUGAUCCCGCGUUGUAUUAGCUAGUUGGUGAGGUAAAGGCUCACCAAGGCGAUGAUACAUAGCCGACCUGAGAGGGUGAUCGGCCACAUUGGGACUGAGACACGGCCCAAACUCCUCCGGGAGGCAGCAGUAGGGAAUCUUCGGCAAGGGACGAAAGUCUGACCGAGAACCGCCGCGGGAGUGAAGAAGGUUUUCGGAUCGAAAAACUCUGUUGGUAGAGAAGAACGUUGGUGGGAGGGGAAAGCUCAUCAAGGGAGGGUAACUACCCAAAAAGGGACGGCUAACUCCGG